This 356-nucleotide ribosomal RNA is filed under the name uncultured fungus. RNAcentral describes it as "SSU rRNA". It matches the Rfam family "Eukaryotic small subunit ribosomal RNA", at positions 20 to 371 of the family's 1831-position model. The record is from RNAcentral. Lineage: Eukaryota; Fungi.
GUAGUCAUAUGCUUGUCUCAAAGAUUAAGCCAUGCAUGUCUAAGUAUAAACAACUUUAUACUGUAAAACUGCGAACGGCUCAUUACAUCAGCAAUAAUUUAUUUGAUGAUUUCUACUACAUGGAUAACUGUAGUAAUUCUAGAGCUAAUACAUGCGCAAAGUCCUGACUCGCGAGGGGAGGGAUGUAUUUAUUAGAUACAAAACCAAUGCGGGUUAUGCUCGCCAUUGUGUUGAAUCAUAGUAACUUAUCAGACGCCAUAGCCUUGUGCUGGGCGUAGAUCAUUCAAAUUUCUGCCCUAUCAGCUUUCGACGGUAGUGUAGUGGACUACCGUGGCGUUAACGGGUAACGGGGAAUA